Dermacentor albipictus is the source of this 206-nucleotide long non-coding RNA. RefSeq lists it as uncharacterized. The record is from RefSeq and is a predicted model, not a curated record. NCBI's taxonomy places the organism in Eukaryota, Metazoa, Arthropoda, Arachnida, Ixodida, Ixodidae.
GAGAGAAGGUAAAGAUUUUCAUACUCAAGGUCCCAAAUAGAUGACGCGUAUUCAAGUUUAGGCCGUAUUAGUAAUUUAUAAAGUACGAGUUUUAAAGGCUAUGGAGCAGAAGAGAAGUUGCGACCAUUCGCCCAUCACCAUGGUGGAGGUCCCGGCUGCGAACAUCCUCCUCCUCCCAUGCCUCCGCCGUCGAACGACACCAGUAC